CAGCAGCCGCGGUAAUACAGAGGUCUCAAGCGUUGUUCGGAAUCACUGGGCGUAAAGGGUGCGUAGGCCGCACGGUAAGUCAGAGGUGAAAUCCCGGAGCUCAACUUCGGAAUUGCCUCCGAUACUGCCGUGCUUGUGGACUGGAGAGGAGAUUGGAAUUCACAGUGGAGCAGUGAAAUGCGUAGAUAUUGUGAGGAACACUAGUGGCGAAGGCGAAUCUCUGGACAGUUCCUGACGCUGAGGCACGAAGGCCAGGGGAGCAAACGGGAUUAGAUACCCCGGUAGUCCUGGCAGUAAACGGUGCACGCUUGGUGUGGCAGGAAUCGACCCCUGCCGUGCCGGAGCUAACGCGUUAAGCGUGCCGCCUGGGAAGUACGGUCGCAAGAUUAAAACUCAAAGGAAUUGACGG
RNAcentral lists this ribosomal RNA (409 nucleotides) under uncultured bacterium. Its description in RNAcentral is "bacterial SSU rRNA". It matches the Rfam family "Bacterial small subunit ribosomal RNA", at positions 509 to 916 of the family's 1533-position model. The record is from RNAcentral.